This 1286-nucleotide ribosomal RNA is filed under the name metagenome. Its description in RNAcentral is "bacterial SSU rRNA". It matches the Rfam family "Bacterial small subunit ribosomal RNA", at positions 242 to 1519 of the family's 1533-position model. The record is from RNAcentral.
UAGCUAGUUGGUGAGGUAAAGGCUUACCAAGGCGACGAUCUGUAGCGGGUCUGAGAGGAUGAUCCGCCACACUGGAACUGAGACACGGUCCAGACUCCUACGGGAGGCAGCAGUGGGGAAUUUUGGACAAUGGGGGCAACCCUGAUCCAGCCAUGCCGCGUGAGUGAAGAAGGCCUUCGGGUUGUAAAGCUCUUUCGGCCGGGAAGAAAUCGCAUGGGCCAAUACCCUGUGUGGAUGACGGUACCGGAAUAAGAAGCACCGGCUAACUACGUGCCAGCAGCCGCGGUAAUACGUAGGGUGCGAGCGUUAAUCGGAAUUACUGGGCGUAAAGCGUGCGCAGGCGGUUUUGUAAGACAGGCGUGAAAUCCCCGGGCUUAACCUGGGAACUGCGUUUGUGACUGCAAGGCUAGAGUACGGCAGAGGGGGGUGGAAUUCCACGUGUAGCAGUGAAAUGCGUAGAGAUGUGGAGGAACACCAAUGGCGAAGGCAGCCCCCUGGGUCGAUACUGACGCUCAUGCACGAAAGCGUGGGUAGCAAACAGGAUUAGAUACCCUGGUAGUCCACGCCCUAAACUAUGUCAACUAGGUGUUGGGUGGGUAAAACCAUUUAGUACCGUAGCUAACGCGUGAAGUUGACCGCCUGGGGAGUACGGCCGCAAGGUUAAAACUCAAAGGAAUUGACGGGGACCCGCACAAGCGGUGGAUGAUGUGGAUUAAUUCGAUGCAACGCGAAAAACCUUACCUACCCUUGACAUGCCAGGAACUUGCCAGAGAUGGCUUGGUGCCCGAAAGGGAGCCUGGACACAGGUGCUGCAUGGCUGUCGUCAGCUCGUGUCGUGAGAUGUUGGGUUAAGUCCCGCAACGAGCGCAACCCUUGUCGUUAAUUGCCAUCAUUUAGUUGGGCACUUUAACGAGACUGCCGGUGACAAACCGGAGGAAGGUGGGGAUGACGUCAAGUCCUCAUGGCCCUUAUGGGUAGGGCUUCACACGUCAUACAAUGGUCGGUACAAAGGGUUGCCGAGCCGCGAGGCGGAGCCAAUCCCAGAAAGCCGAUCGUAGUCCGGAUUGCAGGCUGCAACUCGCCUGCAUGAAGUCGGAAUCGCUAGUAAUCGUGGAUCAGCAUGUCACGGUGAAUACGUUCCCGGGUCUUGUACACACCGCCCGUCACACCAUGGGAGCGGGUUCCGCCAGAAGUAGGUAGCCUAACCGCAAGGGGGGCGCUUACCACGGCGGGGUUCGUGACUGGGGUGAAGUCGGAACAAGGUAGCCGUAGGGGAACCUGCGGCU